RNAcentral lists this ribosomal RNA (293 nucleotides) under uncultured microorganism. Its description in RNAcentral is "partial 16S ribosomal RNA". It matches the Rfam family "Bacterial small subunit ribosomal RNA", at positions 505 to 796 of the family's 1533-position model. The record is from RNAcentral.
GUGCCAGCAGCCGCGGUAACACGUAGGGUGCGAGCGUUGUCCGGAAUUAUUGGGCGUAAAGAGCUCGUAGGCGGUGUGUCACGUCGGCCGUGAAAACUUGGGGCUUAACUCUGAGCGUGCGGUCGAUACGGGCAUCACUUGAGUUCGGUAGGGGAGACUGGAAUUCCUGGUGUAGCGGUGAAAUGCGCAGAUAUCAGGAGGAACACCGGUGGCGAAGGCGGGUCUCUGGGCCGAUACUGACGCUGAGGAGCGAAAGCGUGGGGAGCGAACAGGAUUAGAUACCCUGGUAGUCC